CGAACUUUUUCUAUUUACCUCAGUUCACAGUAUUUCCUAAGUGUAUUGAUGGUAUACUGGCGGUUCCUAUGGUGAACUACGGAGAUUCUGGAGGUCUUCUAGAGAUGCUGCGUUAUGGUCACACAGCCGUGAUAACUGAGACAUCGAGGCAGUGGAUUCUCUUCUGUUAGUUUGCCAGUCAUCGGGUCAAACGCCCAAAUGUAAUUAACACCAGAUGAGAACUCAUCCCGACCUCCCACAAUAUAAACUUUCCCAUCGAACACGUGUUUGUUUUGUCACCGACUGCUCCUCCGAUGCUGUAGAGUUUUCCAGCGCAGCCGACCGCAGCAGCCGAGCUCACGGGCAGCAGCAGAUCACAGACUGUCCUCCACGUGUUAUUGUGAGGAUUAUAACACUCCAC
Paramisgurnus dabryanus is the source of this 400-nucleotide non-coding RNA. The record is from RefSeq and is a predicted model, not a curated record. Lineage: Eukaryota; Metazoa; Chordata; Actinopteri; Cypriniformes; Cobitidae.